GAAGUGCGAUAACUCGGGUGAAUUGCGACCGGCGCGAAUCCUCGAAACUUUGAACGCAGAUCGUGCCCCGGCCUCGCGGCCGGGGCGCGUUCGUCCGAGCGUCGCGCGAGACAGAUCCCCGCCCCAGGGCGGGAGACGACGGACCCCGUGCCCCCUCGGGGGCGCGCCGUCCCAGACUCCGACGGACCGAACGACGGUGGGGAGCCGAAGGGCCCCCGGACCAUCGCUGCCGAGGGCCAGUCCCAGAGGAGCGAGGGCCCGGGCCCGCCCGAGGCACCCCCCACGUCCCGGAUCCGUCCCCCCCCCAUACUCUCGACCUCGGAUCGAGCGCGAUUACCCGCCGAAUUUAA
This 350-nucleotide unclassified non-coding RNA is filed under the name uncultured fungus. RNAcentral describes it as "sequence contains ITS1". The stretch from base 1 to 104 matches the Rfam family "5.8S ribosomal RNA", at positions 50 to 154 of the family's 154-position model. The record is from RNAcentral. Lineage: Eukaryota; Fungi.